RNAcentral lists this ribosomal RNA (253 nucleotides) under uncultured bacterium. Its description in RNAcentral is "partial 16S ribosomal RNA". It matches the Rfam family "Bacterial small subunit ribosomal RNA", at positions 524 to 776 of the family's 1533-position model. The record is from RNAcentral.
GACGUAGGGCGCGAGCGUUGUUCGGAAUUACUGGGCGUAAAGGGCUCGUAGGCGGCCAACUAAGUCGGACGUGAAAUCCCCAGGCUCAACCUGGGAACUGCGUCCGAUACUGGAUGGCUUGAAUCCGGGAGAGGGAUGCAGAAUUCCAGGUGUAGCGGUGAAAUGCGUAGAUAUCUGGAGGAAUACCGGUGGCGAAGGCGGCAUCCUGGACCGGCAUUGACGCUGAGGAGCGAAAGCCAGGGGAGCAAACGGG